This 650-nucleotide long non-coding RNA is filed under the name Lathyrus oleraceus (garden pea). RNAcentral describes it as "Pisum sativum (pea) long non-coding RNA (PSAT_LNC019111)". Lineage: Eukaryota; Viridiplantae; Streptophyta; Magnoliopsida; Fabales; Fabaceae. The record is from RNAcentral.
AAAAUCAGUGUUAAUUGUGGUUUGUGGGAUUGGAUCAAUAUAUGAUUACAAAGAUGAGUGGUUUUGUUAUAUAUAUUUGAAUUGUAUGAUUGAUUUUUUUUACAGAAUUGGACUAAGCCAGGUUAAGAAAGGAUAUUGAGAGGUAUUGGUUAAGAAUGAAAAUGAAUUGGUUGCGGCCAAUGAAAGCUUGUAGUUGUUAUCCUUAUGAGUAAAAUAGGGUAUAUAUGUAGAUAGGAGUGUGAGUGAGAAUUUAGGGUUGUGAAAAAAGACAGGUAGGCGUUGGUGUUAAUCGAAUGAUAUUAGAGUCUUCUAGAAGCAUCUAGAUGUUGAUAAAGGAACUACUAAUUAAAAAUAUUAUUUUAGACAAUUAUGUUUGAUUUAGAAUUAAAUUAAUUUGUUAAGUUUUUAUUAUUAUUUAAAUGGGAUUUCUGGUCUUUGACAUGUUUAAGAUAUCCAAUUAUUUAUUUUUCUUUUAUAUUAAUUUUUGUUAUCUCUUUUGACAAACGCUUUAUACAUAAACUAUGUUGCGUAUUAUUUUAAUUUAAAUAUACAUGGUUUUUCUAACAAAAGAAAAACUAAACUAAAUUAUUAUAUUUUUAUUUUUAUUCAAACAUAAUAUUUAGCUACAAAAUAUAUUAUUAUAUAUUUUU